CUGCAGUGGAGCCAUCCUUGAAAUACCACCCUGUCGUGCUUGACGUUCUAACCUGGGCCCAUUAUCUGGGUCGGGGACCGUGUAUGGUGGGUAGUUUGACUGGGGCGGUCUCCUCCUAAAGAGUAACGGAGGAGCUCGAAGGUACGCUCAGCGCGGUCGGACAUCGCGCACUGUGUGCAAAGGCAUAAGCGUGCUUGACUGCAAGAUCGACGGAUCAAGCAGGUAGGAAACUAGGACUUAGUGAUCCGGUGGUUCUG
This 257-nucleotide ribosomal RNA is filed under the name Salmonella enterica subsp. enterica serovar Typhimurium. RNAcentral describes it as "partial 23S ribosomal RNA". It matches the Rfam family "Bacterial large subunit ribosomal RNA", at positions 2175 to 2431 of the family's 2925-position model. Lineage: Bacteria; Pseudomonadati; Pseudomonadota; Gammaproteobacteria; Enterobacterales; Enterobacteriaceae. The record is from RNAcentral.